Molecule: ribosomal RNA, 253 nt
Filed under: uncultured bacterium
Lineage: Bacteria
Description: partial 16S ribosomal RNA
Rfam family: Bacterial small subunit ribosomal RNA
Source: RNAcentral
UACGUAGGGUCCGAGCGUUGUCCGGAAUUAUUGGGCGUAAAGAGCUCGUAGGCGGUCUGUCGCGUCGGCUGUGAAAACUCGGGGCUCAACCCCGAGCCUGCAGUCGAUACGGGCAGACUAGAGUGCUGUAGGGGAGACUGGAAUUCCUGGUGUAGCGGUGAAAUGCGCAGAUAUCAGGAGGAACACCGAUGGCGAAGGCAGGUCUCUGGGCAUUAACUGACGCUGAGGAGCGAAAGCAUGGGGAGCGAACAGG